UACAGAGGGGGCAAGCGUUGUUCGGAAUUACUGGGCGUAAAGGGCGCGUAGGCGGCCUACUAAGUCGAACGUGAAAUCCCCGGGCUCAACCCGGGAACUGCGUCCGAUACUGGUGGGCUUGAAUUCGGGAGAGGGAUGUGGAAUUCCAGGUGUAGCGGUGAAAUGCGUAGAUAUCUGGAGGAACACCGGUGGCGAAGGCGGCAUCCUGGACCGAUAUUGACGCUGAUGCGCGAAAGCCAGGGGAGCAAACGGG
This 253-nucleotide non-coding RNA is filed under the name uncultured bacterium. Its description in RNAcentral is "partial 16S ribosomal RNA". It matches the Rfam family "Bacterial small subunit ribosomal RNA", at positions 524 to 776 of the family's 1533-position model. RNAcentral also lists the same sequence under 1 other name. The record is from RNAcentral.